This 1046-nucleotide long non-coding RNA is filed under the name Oreochromis niloticus (Nile tilapia). Its description in RNAcentral is "lncRNA (ENSONIG00000031778.1)". Lineage: Eukaryota; Metazoa; Chordata; Actinopteri; Cichliformes; Cichlidae. The record is from RNAcentral.
CUGUGUGUCUGCUGGCUACAAGUUCAUCCCAGGACAUCGCGGCAGAUUCGUUUAUAGCUCAUCUUGUCUUUUCGCGACUUUAUGGUAGUGAUGGCUUUUUAUAGGUCUGUGUAGGUGAAGUGCAGGCGAUAAAAAAAAGACGAAGAAGAAGCUGAAAAUGCCACAGUUAAUGGUAGCCUAGUGUAAAAUAGUAAUUCAGGUACUUAUAAAAACUGUAAGACAAGAGUUACCAAAAUUCAAAUGCGUAAUUUCAAAGACAGAAAUCCGCGUAAUUUGGAGAGCAGAGAAUACACGCACUCCUUCUCUCAUUUUUUUCAGAAUGAACUUUACAUGUGUCGGACACUUAUAAAUUCCCAGUCAUAAAGGUUGCCGUAAAUGAUUUGGUUAAACACUUUCAGAAGCAAACGGUGUGCAGUAUAGGGUGAAUUUGUGCAGCUUUACCCUUAUCAUCCUUUUUUUUGAAUAGAUGGAGCAGUUGUGGCAGGGACCGUGGUGCGCAGCAGCAGGCAGCAGCAGCAGCUGAGCGGAGAGAUAGGAGCGCGUAGGAACACGCUCUUGGAGAGACCAGAGUCAUUCCUUUCUCUCUCCGCUUGCCAGUCACACCGAAGACACAUCGCAGUGUAUCUGAAUGUUGCAUCACAAAGGAUGGCCCCCAAAAAGAAAAGCAUAAAGACUGAUUUAAACACCCAAGGAAACGCCGCAAAAAGGGAGAGCGUGACUUUCUUGGCAUGGAGGAGCGCGCAGAGAGGCAUACAUUCCCCCGGACUUCCUUUUCCAUCCGCUUCAUGACUCACCCUCCUUUAGCUGUGAAGUGCUUUAUCUCAUCAAGAAAUGGAUCAAGCCAUGAAUCUUGUCAUGUUGCCCAAACAAAAUGUUAGCCUGGGGCUGGUGAGCAGCAUUGGUGUUGCAUUGCAGAAGAUAACCAUUGAUGUGCAACAUAAAGACUUAAGGUCAUCGCAGUGUGGAAAUUUCUAAGCAUUUGAAUAAAUCUAUAUAUAUCUAAAAAGCAUAAAAAUUUAUCAGAGUGACUUUUUCCAUUAUUACCG